CACGGCGCACGGGUGCGUAACACGUGGGCAAUCUGCCCUCCGAAGGGGAAUAACCCCGCGGAAGCGGGGCUAAUUCCGCAUAACAUUCCCUUCGGCAAAGCAGCGUCGGAGGAGGAGCCCGCGCCCGAUUAGCUAGUUGGUGAGGUAAUGGCUCACCAAGGCAAUGAUCGGUAGCUGGUCUGAGAGGAUGGCCAGCCACACUGGAACUGAGACACGGUCCAGACUCCUACGGGAGGCAGCAGUGGGGAAUCUUGCGCAAUGGGCGAAAGCCUGACGCAGCGACGCCGCGUGGGGGAUGAAGCUUCUCGGAGUGUAAACCCCUUUCGACUGGGACGAAUGACGGUACCAGUAGAAGAAGCCCCGGCUAACUACGUGCCAGCAGCCGCGGUAAGACGUAGGGGGCCAGCGUUGUUCGGAAUUACUGGGUGUAAAGGGUUCGUACGCGGUGUGGCCAGUCGGGAGUGAAAUCUCUGGGCUUAACCCAGAGGCUGCUUCCAAAAC
This 501-nucleotide ribosomal RNA is filed under the name uncultured soil bacterium. RNAcentral's name for it is "bacterial SSU rRNA". It matches the Rfam family "Bacterial small subunit ribosomal RNA", at positions 94 to 633 of the family's 1533-position model. The record is from RNAcentral.